GUAGGGAAUAUUGGGCAAUGGAUGCAACUCUGACCCAGCCAUGCCGCGUGCAGGAUGACGGCCCUCUGGGUUGUAAACUGCUUUUAUACGGGAAGAAAAAAUACUACGUGUAGUAUACUGACGGUACCGUAAGAAUAAGGAUCGGCUAACUCCGUGCCAGCAGCCGCGGUAAUACGGAGGAUCCAAGCGUUGUCCGGAUUUAUUGGGUUUAAAGGGUGCGUAGGCGGAUCUUUAAGUCAGUGGUGAAAGCCUGCAGCUUAACUGUAGAAUUGCCAUUGAAACUGAAGAUCUUGAAUGUGGUUAAAGUAGGCGGAAUGUAUCAUGUAGCGGUGAAAUGCUUAGAUAUGAUACAGAACACCGAUAGCGAAGGCAGCUUGCUGAACCAUUAUUGACGCUGAGGCACGAAAGCGUGGGGAGCGAACAGGAUUAGAAACCCGAGUAGUCC
Molecule: ribosomal RNA, 445 nt
Filed under: uncultured bacterium
Lineage: Bacteria
Description: partial 16S ribosomal RNA
Rfam family: Bacterial small subunit ribosomal RNA
Source: RNAcentral